GAAACCAGGUGAACAUGAGAUCUCUCUGUUUUAUUUCUUACAACUCCAUCUCAGAAUAACAAGUUUAUGGCUGGCUUAGUCCUACACCAUCCUGGGAGGCAGGUGAGACCAGAAGUGGGACUGGUGUCCACACACAUAGCCCCAGGCCCACAGUGUGUCCGCGGCCCCUUUCUGGCAGGGCCUCAUUGCCCAGGGCUCUGACAUCCUUCAGGCACCCUCUGUCUGUCCCACAUCCGCAGCAGCUAUGUGCCUCUCUUUCCUCUCAGUCCCAAAAAGCAUCAGUUAUUGAACACAUUGUCUAUGCCAGAUGGCCAUGUGGCUGCAGAUGAGCAGCCACCAGUGUCUUGCUUGCUGCCCAGGAGCCUCUCCAGUGACUGGAUGGAGAAGACCCAGUCUGGGGGUCAGGUAGAUGGUCUGUGCCCAACACAACCCCGCCCCCCAAUUGCACCCUGCCAGGCUUGGCAGGAGGCCUGGCACUGGGGCUGGCAUCAACUGGGCCCAGAAGGUGGUCAUGGAGGCCUCGCUUACGCUUGUUUCCCAUAAUUCUGGCUGCUUCCAGUCCCUUUCCUCUCCAGACACUGACGCAGAGCCUACCAACACGCUGAGGCCCCCUUUCUCAGCUUCCUGCUCGGCCACCAUAUCUUCUCAUUACCUGUUUACCCAUCUCCCCUUUGGAAUUGCCUUGAGUUCCACGGGUGUGACAUCAACAGGCCUGGAAUGCCAUCCCCAGUCGCCACGCGAUCACCAAGACCACCACUGUCGUGCUUCUCCAUCCUUGCCCCCCCACCCCUUGUCACAGCUGUCUCCUCCCUGGGGUUCCAGGAGGCCCGGGCUGCUUCCUUCCCUUGAAAAUCCAUGUUGUCACAAUUGGGACUGUCGCUCUUUUUGAUGCUCAAAAUAACCUCGAAGACCAGUUGCAGCCAAACAGUCCCCCUGGGCACAGAUGGGGAGACUGAGCCAGGCCUGCUCCUGACCUCCUGACCUCGGGACAGCUGGGCCUGGGGACAGUGGCCCGGGACAGGGCACUGGAGGGUGCAAAGGCGUUCUGGUUGUACUCCUGGUUACACUGGUGUCUCUCAUCGGAAUCGUGGACCCGGGCCUGGGGAGGAGGUCUGGCAGAGCCCUCAAGGCCACUGCGGCAGCAAGGCCCAAAGGCUUCUCUGCUUUUCUGGGCCCCAACUUGGCCAUCGUCUGCCUGGGGUCCCUCCGCCCUUCUCUAGGCGGUCCCUUGGGCCUCUGUGCCCAGCCCCUUUCUCCUGGCCUGUGGUCAGCAUCUCAUGGGGACCUGUGGCAUGUUGACCCCCCAGUGUGAACCCUGGGAGAGGAGGGUGGCGACCACCGCUUUCUCCUGCAUGUGCUGCUGUGUGUUGCAGCCGGACAGGGCUGGUGGCCGCCAUGCAGGCCAGAAGCACCAGUCCUGCCUACUCUGUGCCCUCUGCCUGCAGCCGGCAACUGCCUGGGAAGUCCUGGAGGGAGGACAGGGCUAGCACACCGGCAGUGCAUCUUGCCCCGGGGGCCAUGCACGGCUGCUCACGAGGCUAGAGCGUGGGGCAGCACACGCCCCAGAAGACAGCGGCACCUGGGGGUGGUUGCGAAGAGUCGUGGCUGCAAAAAUGAGUCUGUUUGCAGGCAUCAUGGCGUAUGGUGGUGGGUCUGUCUACCACCAACUGGGAGCCCCUCCCCUCCUGAGGGCUUGGUGCGGUUCUGGCCUGUGGCAGAGGAACCCCCGACGACCUGCAGCCAGAAAGAGGGGUGGGAAGGAGAUGAUGAAGGGGAGUGAACUGAGACCCUGAGUCCUUGCCCUCACCCAAGUAUGACCAGUCACCAGAGACCAGGAAACCAGAUGACGGAUGUCUGCUCUGAGGGCUCUGGUCGCCGCCUUCUCACCUGGGCAUGACAGCCAGUGCACCUGUGCCACCAACCCACUCUGCCCUCCCCGGCUGGUGCCCGGGCCCCAAGGCCAGCCUGCACCAGGCAGGGUGCCACCAGCAGGGCAGGUACCAGGGCCACGGAGGGCCUUGGCCUGCGCAGCUGGGCAGUGGGCACCAGAGCCCUCGCUGCGUCCUGUUGAUUCUGGGAGGGUUUUCCGAUCUGUCUGGCCUGAUGCUCGCAUGGCCAGCCGGGGAGCUGGGAUGCAGUGGAGAGCUGGAGCCAGCCUUUGCAACCCCAAGCCCCGGCCCUCGCUGGCAGAGAGGUGGGCCGUGGGGGAGGGGCAGGAGCUUCCCUCCGCUGUCUGGCGGGCCGCCUCCAGAUCUAGGUCAUCGUGCUUCAGCCUCACUCUCUGCCUUCCGCAAGCUGUGUUCCGUGGGAUUUUUUAAAUACCUGAAUGCCUCUGGGAGAAACUCAGUGUUGGUGCCAUUUCGUAUCUGCACCUUCGGCUUUUCGUGACAUUACAGAGCUACAGCGAGGACAGAGAGUCUCAGAGAUGCCAGGACACCUUGAGGAGGUCGCCUCCAGCCCCCUGGUAGCCCCUGAGCGCAUCCCUUUGGAGGGCCCCCAGGGUCACACGGUCAGGCAGCUCUUCCCCACUGAGUCACACUGUGCUCAGGGUCCCUGUCACCCCGACCCCUGCCCUGGGCUGCGUUCUCUCCCAGGGCCCUUCAGUGGUCUGUCUCUCAUUGGCUGCAGCUGGAGGCCCACAGUCCCCUGACCACUGACCCUCGAGGGGGCAGGGGCGCCCGCCUCCCCUCUGGGUCCCCGGGUCCCAAGGCUGGCUCACCGCCGCAGAGCACAGGCGCCCUUUGUGGCCUGCUCCAGCUGCCCAGUGAGUGGCGGAUGCAGUGUGGACCAAGGCUCUGCCCCACUUGGAAGCCUCUCUGUCCCUGGAGCACACAGUCGCUUUAACGGGGCGAGCGUGCCCUCCUGGCAGGGCAGCUGCUGUGGACUCCAAGCUCUUUUAAUUGGCCUGUGUCCAUCGGUGACGAGGACGGGUGUGUGUCAUCACGCUCUUACAUUUUUCUAACAAGGAGAUCAAGAGAAACAUUCUCCAAUGGCCCUCACUGCACACACAAGCCCCCCUCCAGAGCUCCUGGGGCCCACGCACCCGACUCGGCCACCUGCCCGAGGCUCCGAGGCCUGGGGUCAGCAGGGAUGGGAAGGGUAGUCCAGGCAGAGGAAGGCACGAAGCCAGGGGGCACCCACAAGUGCAGGGCAGGAGGUGUGAGUGGGGCGGCAGCCCUCCUGACUCAGUGGUCUCAGGUCUUCUCACCUGUAUGGCUGAGCCAGUGCAGCAGGCCCAGCAAGGACAGUACGUGGGAGCGGUGCCCACAAUCAGACAAAGGCAGGGCCCAGGAGGGCAUCAGAGCCCAAUGGGGCAGCCUGACCAACCAGGGCAUGUCCCUGGCCUGCCUGGGAGCUGGUCACACCCUUUGGGGGAGCGAGGUCUGGGCCCAGAGGUUGGGGUUCGCUGUUUGGUCUCACCACACUCUGAACCUCCGCUUCCUGGUCUGAGCAGGGGCCCAACUACACCCAUUCCAGCCUGUGUUGGUGCCUCCGGGAAGGGCGGGGUAGGUAAGGGCUGCAAGCGCCCGAGCCUGCUCUACCUGACAUCUGUGUGUCACCUGGAGCAAACUGCUCCAUCUCUGAAACUGGCACCCGUGUCACCUGCCACCUCCGUCAUGCCUGUCACUGUGGUUUACACAGAGCCCAUCUCCCCACAAGUUGCUUCCUUUUCCGGCCCCAGGUGACCACACGGACGCCCACGAGUCUGUGCUGGAGGGGAGGGAGACAGCACAGGCUACACGCAGCCUCUGGAGAAUUUCUUCACUAAAGGAGGUUUUUUCCUGAAAAACGUCAAGCUAUUUGUAGCCCAAGUCAGUUGAGCAGAUUUUUCUGGGUGUAGCUUAUUUUAUCACUCAUUAACUUCUUUUCUUUAUGAAUUAAAAAGUAG
Equus caballus (horse) is the source of this 3889-nucleotide long non-coding RNA. Lineage: Eukaryota; Metazoa; Chordata; Mammalia; Perissodactyla; Equidae. The record is from Ensembl.